CCUACGGGCGGCAGCAGUGAGGAAUAUUGGUCAAUGGACGAGAGUCUGAACCAGCCAAGUAGCGUGAAGGAUGACUGCCCUAUGGGUUGUAAACUUCUUUUAUAUGGGAAUAAAAUGUUCCACGUGUGGGAUUUUGUAUGUACCAUAUGAAUAAGGAUCGGCCAACUCCGUGCCAGCAGCCGCGGUAAUACGGAGGAUCCGAGCGUUAUCCGGAUUUAUUGGGUUUAAAGGGAGCGUAGGUGGAUUGUUAAGUCAGUUGUGAAAGUUUGCGGCUCAACCGUAAAAUUGCAGUUGAAACUGGCAGUCUUGAGUACAGUAGAGGUGGGCGGAAUUCGUGGUGUAGCGGUGAAAUGCUUAGAUAUCACGAAGAACUCCGAUUGCGAAGGCAGUUCACUGGACUGCAACUGACACUGAGGCUCGAAAGUGUGGGUAUCAAACAGGAUUAGAUACCCCAGUAGUC
Molecule: ribosomal RNA, 460 nt
Filed under: uncultured bacterium
Lineage: Bacteria
Description: partial 16S ribosomal RNA
Rfam family: Bacterial small subunit ribosomal RNA
Source: RNAcentral